CCUACGGGAGGCAGCAGGGGGGAAUCUUGCGCAAUGGGCGAAAGCCUGACGCAGCCAUGCCGCGUGAAUGAUGAAGGUCUUAGGAUUGUAAAAUUCUUUCACCGGGGACGAUAAUGACGGUACCCGGAGAAGAAGCCCCGGCUAACUUCGUGCCAGCAGCCGCGGUAAUACGAAGGGGGCUAGCGUUGCUCGGAAUUACUGGGCGUAAAGGGAGCGUAGGCGGAUAGUUUAGUCAGGGGUGAAAGCCCAGGGCUCAACCUUGGAAUUGCCUUUGAUACUGGCUAUCUUGAGUGUGGGAGAGGUAUGUGGAACUCCGAGUGUAGAGGUGAAAUUCGUAGAUAUUCGGAAGAACACCAGUGGCGAAGGCGACAUACUGGCCCAUUACUGACGCUGAGGCUCGAAAGCGUGGGGAGCAAACAGGAUUAGAUACCCUGGUAGUCCACGCUGUAAACGAUGAGUGCUAGUUGUCGGCAUGCAUGCAUGUCGGUGACGCAGCUACGCAUAAGACACUCCGCCGUCGGGGAGGUACGGUCCGGCGAAGAAUUAAAACGUUAACGAAAGGAAAGUUAGACGGCGUGAGACGUGCCGAACGGACGACGACGAGGGAGGUAGG
Molecule: ribosomal RNA, 613 nt
Filed under: uncultured bacterium
Lineage: Bacteria
Description: bacterial SSU rRNA
Rfam family: Bacterial small subunit ribosomal RNA (bases 1-516)
Source: RNAcentral